UAGUCAUACGCUUAUCUCAAAGAUUAAGCCAUGCAUGUCUAAGUAUAGCAUUAUACGGUGAAACUGCGAAUGGCUCAUUAUAUCAGUUAUAGUUUAUUUGAUAGAUAUCCCUACUUGGAUAACUGUAGAAAUUCUAGAGCUAAUACAUGCCCGAAUUCCUUGUAACAGAGGAUGCAUUUAUUAGACUAAGCCAACCUAUUGUUGUUUGCGCUUCAAUAGAGCCUUGGUGAAUCAUGAUAACUUAGCGGAUCGAACGAAAGUUCGACGAAUCAUUCAA
Molecule: ribosomal RNA, 277 nt
Filed under: uncultured eukaryote
Lineage: Eukaryota
Description: partial 18S ribosomal RNA
Rfam family: Eukaryotic small subunit ribosomal RNA
Source: RNAcentral